This 253-nucleotide ribosomal RNA is filed under the name uncultured bacterium. Its description in RNAcentral is "partial 16S ribosomal RNA". It matches the Rfam family "Bacterial small subunit ribosomal RNA", at positions 524 to 776 of the family's 1533-position model. The record is from RNAcentral.
UACGGAGGGUGCAAACGUUGCUCGGAAUCAUUGGGCGUAAAGCGCACGUAGGCGGUCUGUUAAGUCGGGUGUGAAAGCCCGGGGCUCAACCCCGGAAGUGCACUCGAAACUGACAGGCUGGAGUACGGAAGAGGGUCUCGGAAUUCCCGGUGUAGAGGUGAAAUUCGUAGAUAUCGGGAGGAACACUAGUGGCGAAGGCGGAGACCUGGGCCGAUACUGACGCUGAGGUGCGAAAGCGUGGGGAGCAAACAGG